UUAGAGUUUGAUCCUGGCUCAGGGUGAACGCUGGCGGCGUGCCUAACACAUGCAAGUCGAGCGGAGAGGGGGUAGGCGCAAGCCGAGCCCUCUUAGCGGCAAACGGGUGAGUAACACGUGGGUGACCUGCCCCGGCGUGGGGGAUAACCCUCCGAAAGGGGGGCUAAUACCGCAUACGCUCGGCGGGGACGGCCCGUCGAGGAAAGGCCCGGGGAGGAGACGAACCGGGUCGCGCCGGGAGGGGCCCGCGGCCCAUCAGGUAGUUGGUGGGGUAAUGGCCCACCAAGCCGAUGACGGGUAGCCGGCCUGAGAGGGUGACCGGCCACACGGGCACUGAGACACGGGCCCGACUCCUACGGGAGGCAGCAGUGGGGAAUCUUGGGCAAUGGGCGAAAGCCUGACCCAGCGACGCCGCGUGCGGGAAGAAGCCCUUCGGGGUGUAAACCGCUUUUGCCGGGGACGAGAAAGGACGGUACCCGGCGAAUAAGGCCCGGCCAACUACGUGCCAGCAGCCGCGGUAAUACGUAGGGGCCGAGCGUUACCCGGAUUUACUGGGCGUAAAGUGCGCGUAGGCGGGGCUCUAAGUCGGGCGUGAAAGCCCCGGGCUCAACUCGGGGAGGCCGCUCGAUACUGGAGCCCUUGAGGGCGGGAGAGGGUGGUGGAAUUCCCGGUGUAGCGGUGAAAUGCGUAGAUAUCGGGAGGACACCAGUGGGGAAGCCGGCCACCUGGCCCGUCCUGACGCUGAGCGCGAAGC
This 754-nucleotide ribosomal RNA is filed under the name uncultured Chloroflexus sp. Its description in RNAcentral is "bacterial SSU rRNA". It matches the Rfam family "Bacterial small subunit ribosomal RNA", at positions 1 to 760 of the family's 1533-position model. The record is from RNAcentral. Lineage: Bacteria; Bacillati; Chloroflexota; Chloroflexia; Chloroflexales; Chloroflexaceae.